UACGAAGGACCCGAGCGUUAUCCGGAUUUAUUGGGUUUAAAGGGUGCGCAGGCGGACUAAUAAGUCAGUGGUGAAAGCCUGAUGCUUAACAUCAGAACUGCCAUUGAUACUGUUAGUCUUGAGUACGGUUGAGGUGGGCGGAAUGUGUCAUGUAGCGGUGAAAUGCUUAGAUAUGACACAGAACACCAAUUGCGAAGGCAGCUCGCUAAACCGUAACUGACGCUGAGGCACGAAAGCGUGGGGAGCAAACAGGAUUAGAAACCCCCGUAGUCC
RNAcentral lists this ribosomal RNA (273 nucleotides) under uncultured bacterium. RNAcentral describes it as "partial 16S ribosomal RNA". It matches the Rfam family "Bacterial small subunit ribosomal RNA", at positions 524 to 796 of the family's 1533-position model. The record is from RNAcentral.